UAGCAUAUUUUAUAUUACAUUCAUUUUUAUUAAAAUGUAAUAUUAUGAAUAUAGAAAAUAGUGAUUACAUAGUUGACAGUACACUGGCACUAUUCUGUAAUUCUGAAUCCUUUACUCCGUUGGACCAAUAUUUCCUAAUAAAUUGGAAUUUUAAUCCUGAUUGAUUUAAUGAAAUUUCUGAUUUCAUAUGUAUAAUGUGUAUAUUUCAAUUUAAUACCAAUUGAUUACCUACUACUUCAUAUCUUAAAAUUCAUUUAACAGUCCCCAUAACUUAAAUUUUUAAAUUUAAAUAUGUUCGAUCUUUGUUAAGUAGGUAACUUUUGUGUUACUUUAAUUUAUAAUAUACACAAACAACAUUGUUAUUUAUCUAUACAAUUAUCAUGUUUAUAAAUGGCAUUUAUUUUAUUUGUCUAUACUUGUUGACGAUCUCGCAUACACUCGAAAGCUCGGAGAUAGUCAUAACAAUUUUGAGUCAACCAAAUGACUAUAAUGUAGAACAAGCACUCAGAUUAAAAAAUAAUAUAUUGAAACAAACAAAAUCGAUUAAAGAUCCACGACUAAGUGGAGUAUAUAUGCUUCAUGAACAAUUUCCAGAACCUGGAAGUUGGACUAUUAUUCCAAUUAUAAAACUAUUGUAUAAAAAUAAUAAAAAUGCAAAGUGGUUUUUGUUUUGUGAAGAAAACGCUUAUGUAAAUUAUGACAAUUUACAAUUACUUUUGAAAGAAAAGAACUCAAGUGAAUCUAUAUGGAUGGGAUAUGGUGUAAAAGAUAAACAUCCCACAAUAAUUCAUCAUUAUGCAUUUGAAGAAAAUGAAAAUGAAAGAGUUACUUACCCUUUGUUUGCUGCAGGAUUUGUUAUAUCUGCUGAGCUAUUAAAAAAUAUUGUCAAUUUAAAUCUAGAAACUUUGGGUUCUGAUUUUUCAAUCGAUGCAUCUUAUGAAUUAGCACUAGUAAUCAAUAAAAAAAUUCAACAUCUACCUUUGAAAUUUUGUUUGAAACUUUCACCAGACUGUAUUGUUCAUCCUUUGUCUGAAAGAAGUGACUGUACACAUUAUGGAAAGGUGACAAAAGAUUCAAUAUAUUUUGCUGUGAAAACUUGCAGUAAAUUUCAUUCAGAUAGAGUACCAGUAUUACAAUCUACUUGGGGCCGAGAUGCCGUGCAUAUCGAAUACUUUAGUGAUAAACUUGACGAUACAAUACCAACAACUGUAUUAGAUGUACCAAAUACUGAAAGAGGACACUGUCAAAAGACUAUUACAAUUUUCAAAUACUUAUCUAAAAAACUUUUGUCAAAUAAAGCUGUGAAAUGGAUUGCAUUGACAGAUGAUGAUACUCUUUUGAGUGUUCCUCGGUUAGCAUCAAUAUUGAGCUGUUGGAAUGGUCAGCAAAUUGCACUUGGUCAAAGAUAUGGUUACAAUAUUCGAGGAGAUCCGUCUUUAGGAUACAAUUAUCUAACUGGCGGAGGAGGUAUUAUAUUUAAUGUGGCACUGGUCCAUAAAUUGACCACUUGCAAAUGUUAUGCAUUUGAUGCACCCGAUGAUAUGGUAUUAGGCAUGUGUUUAAAAGCUUUAAAUGCUACAGUGGUUCAUUCUCCAGUUUUCCAUCAAGCUAGACCACAAGAUUAUGCUGACGAGUAUUUAGAAUCUUAUCCAAUGGUAUCUUUUCAUAAACAUUGGAUGAUUGAUCCAAUAGAAGUUUAUCGUCAUUGGCUUUAUCAAGACUCUUCUUUUGGACAUGAUGAGCUUUAAGGAUACAAAAGAGCACAAGACUGCACUUAUAGAAUGGAGAGUUCAGAAAAAAUUAUAUAAAAUUUACCCGUCCGUUUGAAGCAGCCAGCACUGAAUUAAGUAUAAAAUCUGGAGGCACUAUAGCAUCAGCAAGUGUCACUGCUUCAUUUUUAAGACUUGAACAUAAAUCUAUUAUGGAUCCUUUAACUAUUAUAGAUGCCAGUGGCCCAUUAGCAUAGCCACCUAUUAAAAAAAAAAAAAAAACAUGUAUUAAUUAUUAUUAAUAAUAAAAACGUUUAAUAUUCUCAA
RNAcentral lists this unclassified non-coding RNA (2036 nucleotides) under Rhopalosiphum maidis (corn leaf aphid). RNAcentral's name for it is "beta-1,3-glucosyltransferase, transcript variant X6". The record is from RNAcentral. Lineage: Eukaryota; Metazoa; Arthropoda; Insecta; Hemiptera; Aphididae.